Molecule: RNA transcript, 3694 nt
Organism: Benincasa hispida (wax gourd)
Lineage: Eukaryota; Viridiplantae; Streptophyta; Magnoliopsida; Cucurbitales; Cucurbitaceae
Source: RefSeq, a predicted model, not a curated record
GGUCACAAAAUUAAUAAACGAGGAUCAAUAUUAGAUAAUAUCAAAAAUAUAUAUAUAUAUAUAUGAAACUAGUUAUAUUUUCAAAAUCUUGCAAAGCUACACAGAAGAGCAUUUUAUCUUGAGACUGAUAAAAACUAACAGUUUAAUCUAAAGAUGUCAAUUACCAAAGAAGAAGAUUUGAACAAUUUAAAAAUAUAUGACAAAAGCUAAAAACUAAAAUUUAAAGAACACAAGCUAAAUACAUUAAAUAGUAUGCUAUAUCUAGACAACUAGAAAUUAACUUGCCUAUAACUUGGCUAAUUAGUAUAGCCAAGUCAUGAUCUUCACUAUUUUCUUUAGAUAUUAACAUUGUGUGAAUCAAAUUUUCUUACUAAGAUCAUGAAUGUGUAUGACAGUGUAUUAGUUGAAUGUCCAGUGUAAAUUAAGUCAAUCUAGAGUUGACUUGACUGUGGAAAACAGUUGAAUUGACAGAUUUAGUUGAUUGUAUUGAAAUUGAUAAAGAUAAAUAUCAAAAAAAUUUGUAAUGUAUUUUGAUCUUGAAUAAUUAUCAUGUGUUGAAACAUUGAAUGGUUUUCAAUACAAACAGUACAUUUAACUGAAUACUUUUAGAUAUUGUACUUUAGUCUUAAUACUAAGAUUUACUCUUCCCCAAUGAUCCACAAUUGAAUUCAGCAUACUUCAUAAAGUUUGUAUGAACCAAAAGAGCCCUACUUUUAAAGGAUAUUAUGUCCAUAGCUUUUACUUUUUAGGGGGAUAUGAUCAAGGAAAGAACAGAUUUAUAUAAAUGUGUUGGACAAUAAUCAAGGCAAAUCUGAUCCACAAUGCUCACCCCUAUGUUACUUUCAUUCGUCUCAUAACCAACAAAUGCACAAACGCAAUAAAAUAUCCACAAAGAAAAUAUAUGAAACAAGAGUUUUUCCAAUUUUGGGGCCACAUAAAAGCACAUAAAAUACAGUAUAUGGACUAAAAAAAAAUACAAAAUUAGAGUGUAUAUAGAGGCUAAUUUGCAUAUAAGUGGUUAUUGACAGCCCUGUCCCAAACCAAAAAUUGCAAGCUUAAACUCAAGCCACAUCUUGACCCAGCAAAUGAUUAGACCUACAUUCCAAACCUAAAUGGUAAUGACAAAAGAAAAGAAAAGAAAACCUAAGAGAACCAAAUAAAUCAAGCCAACAAUAAAUAAUAACAUCAUGCUUUUGCAUGAUUAACAGGCUUGCCUGCUAACAACCAGGCAUUGCAGACUUCAUCAGAGACGUCUCCUAUAGGAUGUCCAAAUCAAAGAGUGUGGACCAGUUUCCAGAUACUCUCUAAAAUCCACUUUUAUUUCACCCAUCUUUCUCUAAAAUCCAAAAUCCCACAAAGUCUAAUUUCAUUAUGAUGACACACUCAAAUGGAAUGGCUCUCUCCUUCAGGCAAGGAGGAGAAUAAGGGGUGUUUAAAGGACAACCACCAGCUAUGAAGAACAGAGAAACAAAUUAUGGAAGACCCCACAAAUAAAUUGAACAAGAACAAAAGAAAAGAGACAGAAAUUAUAAGGGGGCUAACAGAAUUGACCCUACGGAGAGAAAAAAGAUCCCGAGGCCAUGGCUGAUUAAAGAGAAUGAAACUGUGGGGAACAGUCAUUGGGGCAUUUCAACAAAUACAUUUCAGCAAAUACAGAUGUGGGGUUUUCUGGAGCUUACCAUUGCGACGUCAGAACAGAGCAGAGUGCUGUAUCAGUAUCAUUUGCCUUACAUAUAAUAUAGCGAAAUUGUGAGCAAUGGCUGAUUAUAGACAUGGGAAAUGGAAAUUUUUACUCUUUGUUUGAAGACCGACAUGCUCUAAUCUAUGCACGCAUCCAAAUCUAGGGGAGUUCUCUGUUCCCUCCUUCUAUUUGUCCUUAUGCAUGAUUUUUAACUUUGCAAUACAUCGAGGACAAUUUAUUUUUCUAAAGUUAGGGGUGUGUGCGAUGCAUGCCUAUUUGUCUUUUUCAUAUAUGCUCCAUUUUUGGUGUUGCUUAAUACUUGAUAUAGAGUGAGAUAAAAUUGCUAAAUUCUUUUUUAUCGAUAAUGAUAGAUUCAUUGCUUGAUGUUUAAUGAAUGGAUUUGUUCGCUCAAUUUUUAAUUUCCUUUUCAUGAAAGUCAAUUAUACACUUAUUGAGUUUUAUUCCUUCAAUAAGAGAAAUUCUUUCAUAAUUUUGAGCUCAUUCUAAAAAUCUUUUCUUGAAAACUCAUUCUAAUGAAACUAGGCUGAAUUUUUUUUCAAAAUCCUAAAAAUCUUAUAAACGGAUUAUCCUUCUCAUAUUUUUGUUGUCAUCUCGAAAGGCCUACCUUUAACUUAGGAGUAACAUUUUGUGCCUUAGAGAAGAGCUAGACAAUGAGGAAAGAAACGGACCUAGUGUGUAAUUGAAAAAUAAUAAUGAUGAUGAAAAAAAAAAGAAAAAAACUGCUAGAAAAAAUGAGGCAAAUGCUAACUUGCCUGCAAUAAGAAAAAUAAGUGUACGUGUGCAUGGAUGGAGGUGAAAAGAGCUACCUCUAUCGUGUCAAGUUAAGGUCCCAUGAGAAAAGAGUGGUUAGGUUCUCGAUGCUUAAGUGUGAAAACUAGCCCUCUAGGUAAAAGAAAUGCCUUCUAAGUGUUGUGUGUGUGAGUUUUAGGCACCUUUACCUAAGUGUUGCCCUCUAUUUUGAAAGAAGGGUAUGUCUUAAGCCGAUAAUUGAGCAAGAGUAGAGGGAAGAUGAAAUGGGAUUUGGAUAAAAAUUUUCUAGACUUUCUUUGAUUUUAAAAAUUCCAAGGUCAACAUUUCAUUUAUACAUCUUCUUGAUUGCAAAAGAAUCUUUUGCAAUGAGUUUCAAAUAAGUGCUUGAAUUCGGUUCAUGAGAUGAUUACUUGCAUAGCUCGAAGGACUGUUAAGACUUGAGUUCGAAAUCGUUUAAUAGAGUGAACAGUAACUUGUUUAGUGCAUAAUUAUAUGUCGUAGCCUUGCUCGGGAUGAUCAAGAGUUAAGUUGGGGGUGUUUAUUAGCUCUCAAAAAGAGUUAAUAUUCUCUCCUUAAUUCCACUAUAAUUGAGUAUUUCUUAUGUAUAAAAUUUCUAUUUUGUAGGUAAGUUGAUCCUGAGGAGCUAAAAGUUCAUUCAGAAGCAAAACAAGCCAAAAAUGAGAAAAUUUGGGAGUUGGAUGCAUCAAGUUGGAAGAAGUUAGAAAAAUUACAAAACUACCAUCAAAGGUAGCAUUACAAUCCUCCCUUGACCCUCACGUGACGUUGAAAGGCAGUAAGCACCUCUUUCAAGACAUGAAUACAACAUUGCAAUGCCCCUGCAACACUUCCGCGUGACGCUAUAAAGCAGUAGUAUCAAGUCCAUGGCAGUGUUGCAAUAUUGGCCAGAGCGUCGCAACGCUACAAAUAUUAAUGGACAUUCAGCAUCCGUGUGCGCGCAACACACCGUCACGCCAGUGCCACGCCUCCACCCUGACACUUGAGGCCUGUUUUUACAAGAGUGUCACAAUGCUCUUGCCAGCGUUGCGACACUGUGAUCGUGAUAUAAAAAGAAAUUUUCAAUUUCGGCAAAAAUUGUGACAAAUUGGGGUUGCAAUUGAGAGCGAUUUUGAGAACUUUUCAUCAAUUUUUCACCAUUCUUUCUUCCAUCCCUCAAUUCUUUUCAUAUUACUUUCAAUUUCCCAAACAUUGUAUGUUGAUUUAAAACAAUGCAAGGCUAGGUAA